Molecule: ribosomal RNA, 301 nt
Filed under: uncultured bacterium
Lineage: Bacteria
Description: partial 16S ribosomal RNA
Rfam family: Bacterial small subunit ribosomal RNA
Source: RNAcentral
CAGUAGCCGCGGGAAUACGAAGGGAGCAAGCGUUACUCGGAAUUACUGGGCGUAAAGCGUGCGUAGGUGGUGGUUUAAGUCCGUUGUGAAAUCCCCGGGCUCAACCUGGGAACUGCAUUUGUGACUGGCAAGCUAGAGUCUGGCAGAGGGGGGUGGAAUUCCGCGUGUAGCAGUGAAAUGCGUAGAUAUGCGGAGGAACACCGAUGGCGAAGGCAGCCCCCUGGGCCAACACUGACGCUCAUGCACGAAAGCGUGGGGAGCAAACAGGAUUAGAUACCCCGGUAGUCCCUGUCUCUUAUAC